AGAGUUUGAUCCUGGCUCAGGAUGAACGCUGGCGGCGUGCCUAACACAUGCAAGUCGAGCGAUUCUCUUCGGAGAAGAGCGGCGGACGGGUGAGUAACGCGUGGGUAACCUGCCCUGUACACACGGAUAACAUACCGAAAGGUAUGCUAAUACGGGAUAACAUAAGAAAUUCGCAUGUUUUUCUUAUCAAAGCUCCGGCGGUACAGGAUGGACCCGCGUCUGAUUAGCUAGUUGGUGAGGUAACGGCUCACCAAGGCGACGAUCAGUAGCCGACCUGAGAGGGUGAUCGGCCACAUUGGAACUGAGACACGGUCCAAACUCCUACGGGAGGCAGCAGUGGGGAAUAUUGCACAAUGGGCGAAAGCCUGAUGCAGCAACGCCGCGUGAGCGAUGAAGGCCUUCGGGUCGUAAAGCUCUGUCCUCAAGGAAGAUAAUGACGGUACUUGAGGAGGAAGCCCCGGCUAACUACGUGCCAGCAGCCGCGGUAAUACGUAGGGGGCUAGCGUUAUCCGGAUUUACUGGGCGUAAAGGGUGCGUAGGCGGUCUUUUAAGUCAGGAGUGAAAGGCUACGGCUCAACCGUAGUAAGCUCUUGAAACUGGAGGACUUGAGUGCAGGAGAGGAGAGUGGAAUUCCUAGUGUAGCGGUGAAAUGCGUAGAUAUUAGGAGGAACACCAGUAGUGAAGGCGGCUCUCUGGACUGUAACUGACGCUGAGGCACGAAAGCGUGGGGAGCAAACAGGAUUAGAUACCCUGGUAGUCCACGCCGUAAACGAUGAGUACUAGCUGUCGGAGGUUACCCCCUUCGGUGGCGCAGCUAACGCAUUAAGUACUCCGCCUGGGGAGUACGCUCGCAAGAGUGAAACUCAAAGGAAUUGACGGGGACCCGCACAAGUAGCGGAGCAUGUGGUUUAAUUCGAUGAUACGCGAGGAACCUUACCCGGGCUUGAAUUGCAGCCGAACGAUCCAGAGAUGGUGAGGCCCUUCGGGGCGGCUGUGAAGGUGCUGCAUGGUUGUCGUCAGCUCGUGCCGUGAGGUGUCGGCUUAAGUGCCAUAACGAGCGCAACCCCUCUCCCCAGUUGCCAUCGGGUAAUGCCGGGCACUCCGGGGACACUGCCACCGUAAGGUGCGAGGAAGGUGGGGAUGACGUCAAAUCAGCACGGCCCUUACGUCCGGGGCUACACACGUGUUACAAUGGCCGGUACAGAGAGCCGGGUCUGCGCAAGCAGUCUCCAAUCCCAAAAGCCGGCCUCAGUUCGGACUGGGGUCUGCAACCCGACCCCACGAAGCUGGAUUCGCUAGUAAUCGCGCAUCAGCCAUGGCGCGGUGAAUACGUUCCCGGGCCUUGUACACACCGCCCGUCAAGCCAUGAAAGCCGGGGGUGCCUGAAGUCCGUGACCGCAAGGAUCGGCCUAGGGCAAAACUGGUAAUUGGGGCUAAGUCGUAACAAGGUA
RNAcentral lists this ribosomal RNA (1451 nucleotides) under metagenome. Its description in RNAcentral is "bacterial SSU rRNA". It matches the Rfam family "Bacterial small subunit ribosomal RNA". The record is from RNAcentral.